RNAcentral lists this long non-coding RNA (38379 nucleotides) under Vitis vinifera (wine grape). RNAcentral describes it as "long non-coding RNA (VVIN_LNC000077)". Lineage: Eukaryota; Viridiplantae; Streptophyta; Magnoliopsida; Vitales; Vitaceae. The record is from RNAcentral.
CAAAGAUAUCGAAAGUCACCUUCUCAAUGCAUAACGCCAAGACCAUAUGUACCGUUUGCUAGUAUUUCUCUCUUAAAUAAAGUUUGGAACUUGGAUGUGCAUCUAUGUACUAUCUCGACCUUUUAAUAAACGCAAAUUCCAGCUGUACUGGAGUUGGUGACUAAUGCCGAGAAGACAAACUAGGUUCCCGAUCCUCAGUUAUUUAUGCAAUAAUAUUAAUUAGUGCAUGCGUGUGAUUAGUUGUAUGGUUCUGGGAGUUGCUUUGUGAUUGUUAAUCGGUGUCUUUUGUAGUGGGAUUAUUACAUGCAUGUAAUGUGAAGAACAUAUGAUCCAUGAGGAAAUAAAUUAAAUGAAAAUUACCCAGGCUCCAUCAUGAGGAGCCUUUGAGCAUGCCCACAAGCCUACGUUCCUGCAUUCAAGUCACAUAUGUGAAAAUUCCACUUUGCACAUAAUCUAAAUAAUUUAUCUAAAAAUCUAAGAAGUAAUCUCUCUCUCCAUCUAUGUCUCUCUCUCCCCAUCUAUAUGUACCUCAAAUGAAGAGGUAAGGUAAUGUAAAAUCCCCACCUCAAAUUUAGGGAUAUUUAUAUAAUUUGAAAAUUUUAAAAAGACCUACAUUAAUUUUGUAAAUAUUUAUGUAAUCAACUUUCUCAGAUUAAUUAAAUAAAAAAUUGACCAAGAUGAUUAAAAAUGCAAAUUUGAUGAGGACAUGAAGUAAAAAGUGGUAGGGUUUAAGGACAAUGGCUUCUACUGAAUUUUGGUGAGGUGGUGAUACAAUGAGGAAAAUAGAUUAAUAAAGUUUAUCCAUGGAAAUAGAAAAUAGAAAACAAAAAAUAUAAAAUAAUAAUAAUAUUCAUGUUAAUCAUUUAAUAAAUAUAAUAAAUGCAAUUAUAUAUGCUAAGUGAAAAUAACAAUAUUAUUAUUAUUAUUAUUAAUGCUUAUGAUAGGUGAGAAUUAAGUCUUUUAGAAAUUUGAGUAAUUUUUUCAAGGUAAAGCUUAUAGUUCAUUAAGUCAUUUUAUAAUUCCUUAUAUAUUUUUUUAUUGAUUUUUAAAGUAUCAAAAUGUGUAAAUUCUUUAAAGUGGAUCAAAUAGUUUUUUUUUUUUUUGAAAUAUUUUGUGAUUUGUUUGGUUGUUAUGAAAGUGAAUUUUAUUACUUAAUUUAUUAUAAUGAUUUUAAAACUCUAGUUAUUAGUGGUUUUAGUCAACAAGGAUAAGUUAUUAACCUUCUUUACCUUUGGUCAGUGAAGGGAUGUAGUAUAACACUAGCCAAUAAAUGUGUCAUUGGUCUUGUAUACUAUUGAUUAGAAAUUGUUAUGUCCACCAAUGAGAGUAUUAAAGUGAGGUGAGCCACCUAAUGUAAGUCCCAAUAUUUGGGCACAACGUUAUUAUUAAUUAAUAAACAAAAAUAAAUAGUUUAUUUAUAAAAAUUUUUUUCUAAAUAUAAAUUGAGUAUGCAAAUUGUAUUUUUUAAUUCUAUCUUUAAAUUUAAAGUGUUUAAUCUUUUGAAGAAAGUGAAUUUAAUUUUUUGAAGAAAGUGAAUUUAAUUUUUGAAUUAAAUAAAUUAACCUGAUAAUUGAUUUUUAUAAAAAUUUGAUAUCUCUUAGAAUUUAAUUCUCUACAAUAUAUACCUGAUUUUUUUCAUUGAACUAUUUUUUCUUAUUGAACCAUUGAAGUCACCCUUCUUUAUUAUUCCCCUUUUCAUAUACAAAUGGUAUAAGUGAGAAGGGAUUACGGGAGGAGAAAUGUUUCUAUUAUAAACAACUUUGGAAUUGAAUUAUGUUGGAUUGUGAAACGUGAAUCGGUUUAAUUUAUUGUAUUUUGCAAGGAAUGCUAGAGGUCGAGUGUCUAAUUGAGCUUGCGGGGAUCAAGAGUCUUGAUCGGUUCGUUGGGACUUGGGAUUGAGUUGUCCAAUCAGCUCAUGGGGUUAAAGGAAUAUCCUUCGAUUUUUUUUAAUACGAUGAAUAACGAGUUUGUCCUAAUUGUAUAUUUAAUCUUAUUAUAAUUUAAAGUUUCUUUUUAGAGAGUGUGUGACUGCAAUCGAAAGGAUAAUGAGUGUUUAGUACUCGUCUUAUUUUUUUCUGAACCAAAUUAAAAAUCUAUUGUUUUUCUUUAUUUUCUAAUCGUGUGUGCAUGAUUUGAUCAACAAAUUAUUUAUAGGAUUGUUUACUUAAAUUUGAUUGUAAUUUAUUUAAGUUUUUAGGAGAAUCAUUAAAUUUAUUAUUACAAUAUUUUAUUAGUUUUGAAUUUGUUAUUUAAAGUGAUUCAUUUACUUGGUUCAAAGGUUUGACAUAUAAAGUCACCGUGGUUCCCUUGGUGUCGCGGGUGAUUUUGUAAGUGCCUUCGGACUACAGAAUAUUAAUUAACCUACCAAUCUUCAAUGUAAUCUAAGAUGCAGAAAGAUCUUGUGGGUUAAGGUCAAGUGGGCGCUUCAAUAUUUAUCAUGUCUUCAAAAAAAACUUCAGGGCCCCAGUCCAGAUUCUCAGAUAUGGAUUCUAACAGUUGCUACCAAUCACGGGGGUGAAAACAAAUCAGUGUCGCAGAAAUCGCUAUCAAUGUGGUACUGGAAAAAAAAGAAGAGAUUCCUCCACUUGUUCUUGAAAUUUAUCUGAACGCAUGCAAUAAAUCAAUGCUCCAUAAUCUCCUGCACAUGCAAAUUAAAAUCAAAAUCAGGCCAUUGGCCUCUCACAUUACCAUUCUUGGCCGUUUUCUGGUGUGCAUAUAAAGAGUAAUAACCACACCAUCCAUCUUUUACUCUGGUUGUCACACUCCCACCACUCUCCCACCACUUCUUCCCUAAUCUCCUAACAUCAAAUACAAAAAUGCCACAUCCUUAUUAUUGAAAAUUAAAUUCCCAUACAUAUAAAUCUUAUGCCAGAUUUUUUGUUGAUUGGAUGAUAUUCGGCCAUAUAAAAUUCAGUAUCAAUCACAAACAUUCGUUAUCCAAUCUUGAUACCGAAGAGGAUAGAGUAUCAAUCCAUCUAUGGGCCCGGUGCACCAGGCCUUCCGCCUAUAAAAGUUUUCUAGGGUGGUGAACUAUAUUCUUCAAACACAGCCUUGGCUAGUUACUAUCUGGUUUCCAAAGAAAGAAGAAAUGGCUCAGAUAGAUAAGAUGGAAACCCAUGUAGAGAAAAAGUCCCCUGCCAAUGAGUUCUACGAGGUCUUCAGCAGCAAAGCUCAUCUCAUUCCCAAGGCCUGCCCUGACAAAAUCAAGAGCAUCGAAGUGGUUGAAGGUGAUUGGAAGAGUGUGGGCUCUGUCAAGCUCUGGACUUACUGUAUCGGUAAGGCAACGCUAACCAUUAUUCCCAUGCCACCCUCAAUCAAACAAAAUAAUACACUCAGCACAUGGACCUUCUUGUUUUUAAUUAUUAUUGCUGUGGAAGAUAAUAAUAACAAAACAAAGGGAAUGACCCCUUCUGAUACGGGUGCCUCCUCAUAUUAGUUUUUUGAAGUUCUCCAUGCAAACUAAAGUAGAAAUCAAUCUUUAGGCACAUCCCUUAUCUGAGCUUCACAUGACCUUAGUUUCAUUUUAAAUUAACCUGCAGGAGGAAAUACUUCGUCUAGCAAGGAGAGGGUGGAAAAGAAAGACGAUAAGAACAAGUCCAUCACUUUCAAGGCUCUGGAUGGAGAGGUCAUGAAGGAUUUCAAGAGCGUCAUCUCCAUCCUUGAAGUGAGUGCAAAGGAUGACGGCAGCCUGGUGAAAUGGACUUUGGAAUAUGAGAAGUCAAAUGAGAAACUCCUACCUCCAGAUGCUUACCUCAGCCUUGUAAUUAGUAUGAGUAAAGAAAUCGACGCUUACCUUCUCAAGGCAUAAGCCGCAUAACAAGCCCUAUAUCCUUGACUUGAUAUGAAAGCAUCCUAGCCUGGGUCCUCCUGGGAAUAACGGAGUUGCUAUGCGUACCUCCAUAUUAUAUUAUCGACACCUACUGGCUACUGCUGUACUCCAUGUAACUUCUUGCUGUACUUAAUUAUAUGAGCUUCCUGAAUUAAUGUUGGAAUGAUAAAUCAAGCUUUAUGGUAGAAUCAAAUGAUUGCUCUAUCAUGGAAUAAAUUUCGCAAUAAAAAUAAAUAUUAGAGGAGAGUUAUGAAACGAAGCUUUUUUUUCUGCAUCAAAUUAACUUUUCAUACACUGUUUUUAAAACAAAUCAACAUACAAUGAUCUUAUGUUGUACCUUUUCCGUUGCAGAUUGCUUUUAAAAAUGUUCUCCCCACAGGCACUUCUAUGGUAUCUUUUCAAAAUUGCUAUUAUAUAUGUUUAAUUAACCAUUCAUUUUGGUCUAAAGCUAGGACGAACUUCUAAGACUGCCACGGAGACUCUGGAAAUCAACAGAUGAAGAAAAAAAUAAAAUAUAUCCAUGACUUCCAAGGUUUUGGAAGCAGAGGUCAUGAAUCAUUUCAAGAAGAUUCAAGUCAUCCAUGCAAGUAACAGCAAAGGAUAAGCGCAGCUAGGUGAAAUGGAGACUGGAUAUUGAGGGUCACUAUCUCAGAUUCUCAAGGCAUAGCAUUAAAAACAUAUCCUUUAAUUGGUAGUAUAAUCUCAAACUUGUAUGUAAAGACCAGACCGUGGAAGUGCAUAUAUGCAUUUUAUUCUUCAAUAAGCGCAGGCUUAGGGGGUAGUUCAAUAACCUCUGGGCUUAGUCAAUCCCGAGAAGAUAUUAAUAAAUUUCCCUGGAUUAUUCCUCUCAUGAAUAUCAGUGCCUGUAAUUUGGUUGUGUGCUAACGGGAGUUGCCUCUUGCGAUCGGUUGGGUUCUUUAAUAAACGCAUUAUUAGGUAUGAAUGAUCAGGAAAUUGAUAAGUAAAAAACAAUUUAAUUAUUUCACUUAAGUCAUAAACCAUUAUGAGGAGCCUUGGAAUAUAUGCAUGAGUCUAGAUUCUCGCAGCCACUAAUCACGUAGUCAAAAUUGGCCAGUCGCAAACAUUCCAAUCAUUCUUUAUGAUAAGAAAGAAGAGUUCACUCUUCUUUUUCUCGAGUUUUUUAUUUGGAGAGAGCAAUUUAUCAGCCUCACAUUUUGAGACCUUUCUUGGCACAUCACUUUCAGAAUCUGAUUUCCUAGCUCCACUAUAGAAGUAAAGCCAGUUGGGUAUCACAUUCUUGUUUUAUGUCUCCUUGAGUGGGUCGGGUGUAUAUAAAAAUUUGCCAGUUGAAGAUUUUCUUUGUUAUGCUAGUCUUUCUUUUUCUAACCUCCUGAUAUCAAAUGGGAAAAUGCCAUAUCGUUACUGGACAAUUGACCCAUAAUGGAGAGACUUUUGUUGGUUGGACUUGGGCUUUUAUAUAACUCAGCAACUAUCAUAAUUAUAGGAGAAAUUUGAAGUAACCAUAUUGAUUUGGGUCUACCAAGAAGCAAGGUGAAUCGUAACAUAUCAUGCAUAUAACUUGAUUCAAUUAUUUUAUAUUCUACUUGUUUCUUAUGUAUUUUUACUUUUAUCAAAUAGUUUAGAUAUCAUUACCAAAUAUUCUCCUGACAUUUUCCUAUUAUUUCUGUAAGAUGCUAUAAUCUACACCCAAAGUAGUGGACCACUUACACUUUAUUAUGUACUAACCACGAUCAUAACUUACAUUCUCCACCUUGGCCUCUCUCUUAUCCCAAAAAGUAAAGACUCAGGGUUCGUAUCCCUUCCCUUCUGUCUAUAUAGGUCUAAGAGUAGUCAAGUGUUUCCUUCAAUAGCCUUCAUAUUCUUGGCAGUAACUAGGUACUUGGUUUUCAAACACAACAAAAAUAAUGGCUCAAAUUGCCAAGAUGGAGGUCCAAGCAGAGAUCAAGUCCCCUGCCAGUAAGUUCCACGAGGUCUGUAGCCGUAAAGUUUAUCUCGUACCCAAGGCUUGCCCUGAAAAAAUUAAGAGCAUUGAAGUAGUUGAAGGUGACUGGAAGACUGUGGGCUCUGUCCAGCUUUGGACUUAUUUCAUCGGUAAGGCAAAAUCCAUCAUUCCACGCCUCCCCCAACAAACACAAGGACACAGAGCUCAAUUGUACUUCUAUUAUUAUUACUAUUAUUAGGAAAUAAUGAUAAUCUAAUGGUAAUGUGACUCUACUCAUGCCGAUAUAAACCCCGUAAUCUUGAUCUCAAAUUGCUAUCAAACAAAAGAAUAUCAAAUAAAGGUAAAGUGUGUCCCCUAUAUUUAUACGUAGAUAGAUGAGUUCUAAGCUUAGCACCAUGUUUUCCAUUUGAAAAACAGGAGGAAAUACCGAAGAGGCUAAGUUGGUGGUUGAAAGGGUAGACGAGGAAAACAAAACGGUCACUAUGAACGUUGUGGAAGGAGAUAUCGUGAAGUAUUUCAAGAUCUUCAAGUGCACUAUUCAAGUAACCGUAAAGGAUAAGGGCAGCUUGGUGACAUGGAGUGUGGAAUAUGAGAAGCUAAAUGAGAGUGGCCCCGCUCCAGAUGCUUACCUCAACUUUGCAAUGGGUAUCGUUGAGAACGUGGAUGCUUACCUUCUCAAGGCAUGACAACAAAGGCGUAUUCAUGAGUCAUGACAUGGUAUGAAGCACUGGUACAACAAAAACUUGGGAAUAAUGUACCACACGCCAUGUCCUCAACUUCUACUGGUCAUCGCUAUAAUAUUAAAAGUAACUUCUUAUUCUACUUAUAUACCUUCCAAGUACUUUGUGUCUUGAAUGUUAUUAUCUAAAAAUAAAAAUAGAAAAUCUCGAAGAAGAGCAUUGUCCUUCGACACUUUUCUUUCUUUCUUUCUUUCUUCACUGCUGAGAAUCUCAACGUACGACUACCAUUUGCAUUAUGGACCCAUGACUGCCAUCCUUUGACCACAUUUGUUGCCCUCCCACCAAACUCCUACGCGUCAAAAUUUCUAUUGUUGCUUGAACAAUAUUUUCAUUUGAAAAACAAGGAAACGAUUUAAAAAUUCUUAUCUCAUGUCUAGUUACCCCGGUCGACCAUAUAAAGUACCACUUGAUCACUCUAGUCUCCUUUGCUAGCCCAUGGGCAAUGCAAUACCCAGCAGGUCCCAGUAACCAACUCUAUGUUCCUCCGAAAAUGAAACAAAUCAGGUCGUUUCAGGGAUGCAUUUGAUCUCACCCUUUUGUUUUGUGUCCGUUAUUUUUUAUUUUAAUAUCACAUGUUUAUAUUUUAAUCUCAUUCUUUACACCUGGAUUUGCUGAUAAAGGCAACUUUCUUUUUGAGCUUUGAUCGAGAUUUUUAUGAAAUUCCUGUGAUAUUACCGUCCUGCUCCUGCUUAAGAAUGUAACUUUGAUUUUGCUUUUAGUGAAGUCUUUAGGUGUUGUUUAUUCCCCAAAAUCUUUUGAUGUUUCUGAAAUUGCUUCAGUGGACUUUGAGAGGUUGCAGGUACCUCUUUUCUCCUGAAAUAGAAUUUGUUUCAGUGGAGCAAGACAACAGGAUGAGCAAAAAAUAGAACCAAUUUUAUUGAUAUAUAUCAGGUUUUUGAGACGUUGAAGAACAUUUCUAACAACUUUUUUUGAUGGGUGACCAAGCCUAUUAUGCCACAAUGCAUAUACAGAACAAGAAGAAAAAGAAGCAGGUGUUGGAACUACAGAAGAAUUGUAUACUAAGGGUUGUGUUGACAUACUGACAUAUGACUUAUGAGGAGUUGAGGGAGAGAAGCUGCCACUGAUUAUUAAUGAGAUCAAUUUGAGACUGAUAAAAAACAUAAAGACCAUCUUUAGGCCUACCCCUCCAGUAGCACUGUUUUGAAGUGAAAUUCAAAGAAGACAUUCUUUUGGGCAAAUUUUGACACACUGAGAAGGUUCUAAUUAGCAAUUUCAGGGACAUGAAGUGUUUUAAAGAGUAAUUUCAGCAAACAUAACUUCAACUUUACAUCCACCUGACCUCAUUAUUUCAGUUUGACAAGAGGGCUUAAUUAUAUCAGUAUGACUGCUAAGAAGACUUUGGAAUAUUAUAAAACGAGUCCAUCAAGUUCAAGGUUUGGAAUGGAAAGAUCAUGAGUAAUUUCACUACUUUUAAGCUGAAUAUGAGAAGGUAAAUGAGGAUGUCCCAGACCCAAUGCUUACUAAAUCAUUGAAGGUCACCUUCUUGAGGCAUAAUUCCAAUUCUUUUCAUCGAUGCUUCUUAGAUGUUAUAAAACAAUACUAUGAAAAUGAAAACGUAAUGUAAUUUUGUCAAAGCCUUUUCCUUAUUGAAGACUCUGGACUGAUUGCGUGGGUGCGCAACACCCACCAUAAUUCCCACACCAACGCCCAACUAACCAAAUCACGUAAGGCCUCACAUGGCCUCAUUAUUAUUUCUGUUGAAAGAUAAUACUAUAUUACAUACGAGAUGGCCAUUCUACCAGCCACCUGUAAAGUUGGUGAUAAAUUGAUACUAAAAAUAGAAGGAAAAUUAAGUUGAAAUUAAGGGUGUCUAUUUAAAUUUAAUUAUUCCCUAGAUAUGAUCUUUUGAUAUGAUUUGAACCCGUUAAUCAUUUAUUUUUAUAUAAAGAGACAAAAAUUCAAUUGUAUAAUCCAGGAUGAGUCACUUGGCCGGGUUUUCGACGACAGCUAAAUCAACCUUCAUUUAGUAAUGAUUGCCCAUGAAAUAAAUUAUCAUGUCUCCUCACAAUAUAAUAAACUAAUAAAAAAUAAAAGAAGAUCACAAAGAAAAGCAUCUUAGUGGAAGUUUUUUUUUUUUUUUUUUUCUUUCAUUUGUUGGUGGUGACACUCCGUGAAAUGUGAUCAACUAGCAUUUGAAUUACACAACCUAAUGCAAAUGAUAAAAAGCAUAAAUUACUUUAGAGUGUUUAGAAUUUGGAAGACUCUAGCUAGGAUGAUAUGGCAUGGGUCUGUGGCCGACAACCACCAAACCCAACGCUAAAUAAUUAUUAUUGAACCAUCAUCAUCAGUAUAAGCAACAUCAAACCUCUCCAUGUUAAACUGUACAUUUUAUUUCAUCCGGAUCUAAUAUCUAAUUAUAAAUGAUUAUGUAUGAGAUUGCAAUCCUUUGCUUAACUCUUUGAAAAUCUAAUUAUAAAUAUUUGGAAUAUCGAUUUCAUCUCUACCAUUAAAAGCAUAUGAAAAAAAUAUCUUGGUCUUUGAAUAAAAGUAAGUAUAAAUAAUUAGACUAGGGUACCAAAUGAUGAAAUCAAAUAUAAAUGAAUUAUAACCAUCAAAUUUCUAUUUUUCAUUAUUAAAUCAUUGGGCGCUCCAAUUUUUACAUGAUGUAUAACUAUUGACGGAAAUGUUAAUUAGGGAUGGCAACGGGGCUGGUUUUUUCGGGUACCCGCCCCCCCCUCCCCCCCCCCCGCCCCUAAUGGGACGGGGUUGAAAUUUAAUAAACGGGUUUUUAACGGGUAUGAGAUUUUUUUUUAAAACCAGGGGCGGGUUCGGGACGGGUUCGGGACGAGUUCGGGUAUUGCCCCAUUCCGCCCCGCCCCGCCCUGUUUACAUAUAAAAUCAAUUUUAAAAUUAAUUUUAUUUUACUAUUUUUAAUAUAUAGAUAAUAAUAAAAAAAUUAAUAAAAUAAGUUAUAAAAAAUAUAAUAAUUUUAUUAUUUAUAAAUAUAUUUAUUUUAAUGUAAUUAAAAAUUUUAAAAGUAAAUUUUUUUUUUUAUAAAAAAAAGGAGGCUAAACGGGGCGGGACGGGGAUGAGAAUUAUUUUUAAUAAACGGGGCGGGGUUGGGAUGGGGGCAACCCGUCCCGAACCCGCCCUGUUGUCAUUCCUAAUGUUAAUAUAAGGAUAUAAUAAUGGGUAAAAUUAGUUGAAAGUGUUUUUUUUAUGACAUAAAAUAAUUUUUCAAAUUUUAAUUUCUAUUUACUUUGUCUUCCCUUGUCAUGUAUCUUUGUAAUUUUCCGAUUUGUUUAUCAAAACAAUAAAUGAUGUCAUGUUAUGAUUUCUCUUUUUGUCUUCCUUUUUAAUUGACGUGUUUAUUGGAAUAAUAUAUUAUGUUAGACAAAAUAACACAUACCUCCACUGCCCAAAUCCCCUCCGUGACAAUGAACCCCAUCUUUAAGCAUUAUUAUAAAAUUAAGCAUAAAGUUAUUACAAGUUUCUUCCAUUUCACAUGCCUUUCCCAUAGAUUGAGUGGUGGAGAUGAUCAUUCUUGAACGAUUUAUAAUUUUAAUGAAUUCUGUCUAUUCUCAUAUCUUUUAAGAGGGAAUUCAAAUCAACUUAUCUUAUUUUCUCAACGCUACUUAACUUCCACGGCUUCAAAUUUACAUGAUCAUAUCAUUAUCAAUAACUUCGGCAUAACUAUUCAAAUUUUAAUAAGAACUUCAAAUCAUUGUUACCUUUAUUGCCUUAAAAAUCUUUUUCUUUGUCAAUGAUCCCUGCACGAUUAUUAAAUAAUAGGAUUGUUAUUGUCAUAUUAACUAAUUUUGAUAAUAUAGUCAUCGUCACGGCUGAGUGCCGUUUUCUUGGGAGAUUUUUCAUAAAUUUAAAUCAAUACCAGUUAUAGGAAAUGCGUCACAAAUUAGGAAGAUAUCGAGCUGGAAGCAGAUGAUAUAUAAUUCAUUAUUUUCUUCCUUAUUGAAGCUUGACAAACCAAUCCAAAUGCAUUAACGUGAGAAGCAAGGUUUUAUGCUCAUUUUCAAUGAACCUUGUCAACAUGCACGUCAAAAACAAUGAUUUAUUAACUACGUACAUGUAGAACUGCAUGGGAAAAAAAAAAUACAAUUAAGGCAUUGGGAUAUGAAUAAAACGCUUAACUUAAAAUUCAAAAUUCUCAAAACUACGUUUUUCACACCAAAAUGUUUCAUCCAGCCAACCUAAGACCGAGUGAAUCCUCCCUCUAAAGCACAUUGCCCAAGACUACAGGCAACGUAGUAAUUACCUAAGCAAAUACGUCAGAAUCAUACCAAUUUUUACCAAAGUGGGUAUCGGGAAGGAGCUUUGCCUAAUUCAUCCUUCUAUAUAUAAGGACAAGGUUAUCUACUUCUUCUCAUCACUGCCUUCUGUUUGAAUAUUUUGUAGUUAGUUUUAUCAAUCCAGCUAGUGUUAUUAUCAGAAAAACAUGGCUCUAACUGGUAAGUUGGAGACUGAAACAGAGAUCAAAGCACCUGCUGAUAAGUUCUUUAAAAUCUUCAGGAGCCAAGCACACCACCUUCCUAAUAUCUGCUCCGAUAAAAUACACAAAAUCGAGGUACAUGAAGGUGACUGGGAGACUCAGGGCUCCGUCAAGCAUUGGAGUUUGACCGUUGGUAAGGCAUCUCAAACUAAGAACCACAAAACACUAGCGUUAUAUUCUGUUAAUUAAAAUAAGUUAUUAUGUUUUUGUUUCAUUUCAUUGUUGUUUUCUUCACCUUUCAAUUAUUCUAUUAGAAUAAAAGCAUGCCUCUUUGUACAAUUUUUUUCUUGCAAAGAAGUGAUCGAGUCUGGGCCGCUAGUGACUAUGAUGGUUCUUAGGAAUGUACAUGACAUCUAAUAAUAGCUUCAACAUAUUCCAAUUAUGUUUAACCUCACAUUUUGGUUUCAACUAGGAGAGAAUUCUGAGAGUAUUAAAGAGACUGUGGAUCAAAUAGAUGAAGAAAACAGGUCCAUCACAUUCAAGGUUUUGGAUGGGGAGGUGCUGAAAGACUACAAGAGCUACAAGUUCACCACACAAGCGAUACCAAAGGGGGAGGGCUGCUUGGUGAUAUGGACCAUCGAAUAUGAGAAGGCAAGUGAGGGUGGCCCAGAUCCCCAUAACUGCCUAGAGUUUUCAGUUAAUAUCACCAAAGAUAUCGAAAGUCACCUUCUCAAUGCGUAACACCAAGGCCAUAUCCACCCUUUGCUAGUAUCUUGCUCGUAAAUAAAGUUUGGAACUUGGAAGUCCAUCUAUCUCUAUCUUUCAAUAAACGCAAAUUCCAGGUGUGGACUUGGUGAUUAGUGCCGAGAAGAUAAACUAGGUUUGCCUUGGUUAUUUGUGCAAUAAUAUUAGUGCAUGAGUGGGAUUGAUUGUAUGCUAUCUUGUCCGGGAGUUGCUUUGUGUCUUUUGUAAUGGGAUUACUACAUGUAAUGUGAAGACUAUAUGAUGCAUGGGGAAAUAAAUUAAGCGAAAACUUCCAUGGGCUCCAUCAUGAGGAGCCUUUGAGUAAGUCCACAAGCCUACAUUCUUGCAUUCUAGUCACAUGUGUCAAAAUAAGUCUCUACAAAUUAAAGUCUUAUUGUCAAAAUCCCACUUUACACAUAAUCUAAAUAAUUUAGCUAAAAUCUAAUAAGUAUGUCUCUCUUUAUAUGUACUUACCAUCCCAACUUUUAAAUUUAGGGAUAUCUAUGUAAUUUAGAUUUUAAAAAGAAAAUUUUAGGGAUAUUUACAAAGAUAAAUGAAAUAUUUUUGGUUCCGAUAACCAUUAUUUUUAUCUCAUUUUGGUUUCUUUGCGUUAUAAAAAAAAUGGUUUGUAGAGAUAAACUAGAGAAAAAAAAAAAUUAUACAAUGGUUUGUAGAGAAAUUUGAUUCGAAAAGUUAGAAAAGAUGAUUUGUUUUUUGCAUUUGCUUCAUUCUAAAAUUCAAUCACUAUCUUUUAUCUCAUUUUGGUUUCCCCACAUUAUCAAAAAAUGAAGGAUAAAAAUAAACUGGGGAAAAAAUUAUACAAAGGUCUCCGAGAACUUUGAUUUGAAGAGUUAGAAAAGAAGAAUUUUUUUGCAUUUGUUUCAUUUUAAAAUUCAAGGUUUUUGGAUUUCUAUUAUAUAUUAAUUAUGAGGAUAGUAGAAUAAUAAUAAUAAUAAACAAAAACUAGUUAUUAGUGACCUUGAUCAAUAGAGUAUAAGUUGUUGACCUUUAUUAUCUUUGUUAGAAGUAGUUAACGAUGCAAUGUAACCUUAGCCAAUAAAGAUGUUUUGAUAUACAUUGAUUGAAAAAUGUCCUUUUAAAACUAGUUAUUAUUGACCUUGGUCAACACAGAGGAUAAGUUGUUGACCUUUAUUACCCUUGUUAGGAGUAGUGAACGGUGUAGUAUAACCUUAGUCAUUAAGGAUGUUAUUAGCCUUUUGCUAUAUCAUUGAUUGAAAGUUGUCCUAUCCACCAAUAAGGAGAAUGAAGGCUAGCCACCAAGUACUAGUUUUAGUAUUUUGGCACAAUAUUAUUACUAGUGAGUCAAAGUGAAAUAUUUGUUGAUAAAACUUUUUUAAUAUGAAUUGAGUAAGCAAAAUAUAUUAUUUAAUUCUAUCAUUAAAUUGGAAGUGUUUAAAUUUUCAAAAACAAUUAUUUUAAUUAUUGAAUCAAAUGAGCUUACAUGUUAAUAGACUUUUAUAAAGAUGUGGUAUCUUCCGAAAUUUUAUUAUAUAUAAUAAUUGAUCUUCCUUAUACUAACUUUUAUCAUUGAGCCAUCGAGUUCACUUUUCUCUGUUAUUCUCCAUUUCAAUUAUAAAUGAUAUAAAGAGGGAUGAGGUAAGAAAAAUAUUUCUAUUAGAGACAGCUUUGGAAUUGAUUUAUUUUAGGAUUAUUUACUAGACUGAAUUCAUUUAUAAUUUCUAAAUUUCUUUUUGAAGAAUUUGAGAAAAUUAAAUUAAUUAUUGAGAGAUUUUAAUUAGUUUUAAAUUUGUUACUUAAAGUCGUUCACAUGUUGGAUUCUAAUAUUUGAUACGUGAAACUAGCAUGAAGGGCUUGACCUCCGGGUUUGGGGCGUCGCAGCUGACUUUAGAUUACAGAAUUAUUAAUCAACCUACCAAUCUUCAAAGCAAUCUAGGAUGCAAUAUGGUUUUGUGAUUUAAGAUCAAGUGGACGCUUCAUUUAUUAUGUCUUCAAAAAAACAUUUUGGGCCUCAAUUCGAGAUUAUCAGAUAUGGAUUCUAACAGUUGCUUCCAAUCAAAUCAGUGUCACAGAAAUCGCUACCAUUGUGGUACCUGAAAAAAAAAAAAAGAGACUCCUUCCCUUAAUAUUGAAAUUUAUCUGAAGCUAUGCAGUAAAUAAAUGCCCCAUUUUGUGCGUCAUAAUGGGGGAUCACAUUCAGAAUCUUCUGCACAUGCAAAUUAAAAUCAAAAUCAAGCCAUUGGCCUAUCACAUUACCAUUUUUGGCCCUUUUGUUUUGUUGUUUUUUUCUUUUUUUGGCGUGUAUAUAAAAAGCAACCACAUUAUCCAACUUUUAUUGAAAACACCAUAUUAUCAGAUACAAAAACGCCACAUCAUUAUUAUUGAAAAUUAAAUUCCCAUAUAUAGAAAGCCACAUAAAAUUCAGUGCCAAUCACAAACAUUCGUUGAUAUUCACUAGGAUAGAGAUAGAGUGCCCAUAUAUGGACAGUGCACCAUACCCGCCGUGAAGUGAUUGGAAGAGUGUGGACUAUGUCAAGCUCCGGACUUAUUUGUAUAGGUAAGGCAACGCUAACCAUUAUUAUUCCCAUGCCACCCUCAAUCAAGCACAGUCAUACACUCGGCACAUGGCACUUCUUGUUUUUAAUUAUUAUCAUAGUGAACAAUGUUUUCAUAAUCGGAUCGAUCAUCGAACCGAAAAAGUUAUCGAUUUACAGUCCAUUAGUCGAACCGACGGUCGAACCAAUAACAUCAUAAAUAUGUAAUUUAUAUAUUAUUAAAAUUAAAAAUAAUUAUACAAAUUUUAAAAUAUAUAUGAAUAAAUUAAAAAUCAAUAAUAUUAUUUUGUAUCUUUAAUAUUAUCAAAUUAAAUCAUAUUAAUAUUUUAAAUUUUAUUGAAUGAAAUAUAUAUAAUAUUUAAAUAUGAAUAUAUUAAAAAUGAAAAUUUAAUUAAACUAAUUUUAUAAUUUUUAAAAAUAUUAUAUUAUUUUUAUUUAAUAUUAUAAAAAAAUUUAAAAUCCAAUAUAUAUUAUUUUGUUUGGCAUAUUAAAUAAUAAAAGAUGUAUAGCCGAGUGGUCCUAGGUUGGUUAUAGACCUUGAGGUCCAAGUUCAAAUCCUUUGGUGGAUUUGUUAAUUUUUUUUUUCAUUGAUUAGGUUAGUUAGCAAUCCCACACUAAGAGGAAUAAGGAUGCUUAUAAAAGCUAGCCUCAUUAUGGGCAAAGGCAUCACCUCAUCUGGUGGGCUUAAGACUCAGCCCAUAAAAUGGUUGGGUGCGGUGUGGGCUUUGUCACAUUAAGACAGGGCCCAUCAUGGGCUUUUGCUAAAUUUUUUUAUACAAGGGAGCCUUCCAUGCUUGCAAAAUGGUGGGAUAACUUGAACCGAUCGAUUCGCUCAAAACCGUCUGAUUUCGUUGGGUUAUCGAUUCAAUCAUCGAUUUAGGUGAUUUGUGACCGGUCCAAUGCUUAGACGGUUUAAUAAAGUAAAUCUAAUAAAAAAUGUGAUGGAUCGACGAUUGAACCAGUUGGAUCAGUCGGUCCCACCCGAUUUUUAAAACAUUAGAUAAUAACAAAUUAAAAGAAGGGUGUCUCCUCAUAUGAGUUUUUUUGAAGUUCUCUACUCUUGGAGUGACUGAAAGGAUAACUGCAGCCUGGUGAGAUGGACUUUGGAAUAUGAGAAGUCAAAUCAGAGGCUCCUUCCUCCAGAUGCUUACCUCAGCCUUGUAAGCAUGAGUAAAGAUAUGGAUGGUUUACCUUCUCAAGGCAUAAACCGCAUAACAGCAAGGCCUAUAUCCUUGACUUGGUCUGAAAGCAUCCUAGCUUGGGUCCUUCUGGGAAUGGGAUUGCCACACGUAUGACCUCUGUAUCAUCAGUUUUGGGGCAAAAUAGCCAUUUUAUGUAUAAAAAAAAAUAAGCUUUAGCCCUUUACAAAACUUAUGUUUAAACUAGCUCACAUAGAGUCAUGUCAUCAUUUUUCUUUUAAACUCAAUUAGACUUUAUUUUUUAACUGAAACUUCAAUUACCAAUUGAGAAUUCAUUUUUUAACUAAAACUUCAAUUUACAAUUGAGGUUUUAGUUAACUUUGUUUUAAAUUUAAAUAAAAAAUUAAAUUAUAAAUUAUUAUUGAAAUUUAAAAAAUAUAUUUUAAUAAUAAUAAUUUAUAUAUUUAAACUUAAAUAUCUAAUAUUACUUCAAUAAAGAUAAAUUGACAAAUAUAAUAAUAAAUAAAUAUUUUAUUUAUCAAUAAAUUAAUAAUUUUAAAAUAAUAAAGUUAUAUGAAAUCUAAAUAAGAUAUAAAAUUAUAUAAUUUGUUAAUUUAAGAUAUUUAAUUUUUUGUAUUUUUAAGAUAUUAAUUUAUUUGUAUUUUGACAAAUUUAUCUUUAUUAAAAUAAUAAUAUAUUCUUAAGUUUCAUAUAUAGAUUUUUUUAUUAUUUUAAAGCAUAUAUUUAUAGUUUACGUAAAAAAAUACUAUUAUUUGUACAUACAAUAUAUAUGCCUUGAAGAUACAUUUUGAAAUUAGUUAAUAAAAUUAAUUAGAAAAAAGUCUACUAUAAAAUUUAAUUUUUAAUAGUUUCAUCAAAGUCACAAAAAAUACUCAUUAAAUAUUUAUAUUAUGGAAAAAAAAUGCCCCUCCCUAAUAUUACAUGUGAUAUAACUUAAAUUAAUAAAUUGUAUAAUUUUAUAUUUUAUUUAUAUGUCAUAUAAUUUUAUUAUUUUAAGAUUAUUAAUUAAUUGAUAAAUAAAAUAUUUAUUUAUUAUAUUUAUCAAAUUAUCUUUAUUGAAGCAAUAUUAGAUCUUUAAGUUUAAAUAUAAAAUUUUUUAUUAUUAAAGUAUAAUUUUUUAAUUUCAAUAAUAAUUUAAAAUUUAAUAUUUUUAAUUAAAUUUUAAAGUAAAAAAAUAAAAUAACUGAAGUUUCAAUUGACAUAUCUUAUUUAGAUUUCAUAUAAUAUUAUUAUUUUAAGAUUAUUAAUUUAUUUAUAAAUAAAAUAUUUGUUUGUUAUUAUAUUUAUUAAUUUAUUUUUAUUGAAGUAAUAUUAGAUCUUUAAGUUUAAAUAUAUAAAUUAUUAUUAUUAAAAUAUAUAUUUUUUAUUUCAAUAAUAAUUUAUAAUUUAUUUUUUAAUUAAAUUUUAAAAUAAAAUAAAAAUUUUAACUAAAACCUCAAUUGUCAAUUGAGGCUUUAGUUAAAAAAUAAGUUUCGAUUGACAAAUGAUACUUCAAUUAAAAAAUGAAGUCUUAGUUGGUAAUUGAGACUUCAACUUAAAUUUUAAAAAAAAAAAAUUAUGACAUAACUCCUAUAUGUGAUAAUAAAGGAACUAGUUUAAACAUAAGUUUUAUAAAAGGGUUAAAACUUAUAUUUUUUUCUACAUAAAAAACUAUUUUGCCCUAAAACUCCCGUAUCGUCGACUAGCUACUGCUUUACUCCAUGUAACAUCUUGUCUACUUAAUUAUAUGAACUUCCUGAAUUAAUGCUGGAAUGACAAACCAAGUUUUAUUGAAAAUGGAAACCUUCUUAGAAUCAAACAUUUGCUCGAACAAAUUUCGCAAUAAAAAGAGGAGAGUUGUGAAAAGAAGCAUUUUUCCUGCAGCCAAUUACCUUUUCAUACAUUACUUUAAAACAAAUUAACAAAUAGUGAUCUCAUAUUUUACCUUUUCUGUUGCAGAUUACUUUUAAAAAUAUUCUCUCCACAGGCACUCCUACGGAAUCUUUCUCCAAAUCAAACUGUACAUUUUACUCAAAUUUUAAUAUCUAAUUAUAAAUAAUUAUGGGUGAGAUUGCAAUCCUUUGCUUAGCUCUUUGAAAAUCUAUGAUGAUACUCGGUAUUAAUAUUUUAUUUUAUUAAAGAUAAAAAUAUCAAAAUAAUUUUAGAACUUUUUAGUGGGGAUAAUACUUCCCCAUUAGGCUGCUUACAAGGCAUAAAUUAAUAUUUUUUUAAUUUUAAUAAAAGCAAUUUGGUACAGUUGACUUGAUUGAUAACUAUUUAAGAUAGGAUUUAGACUAAUUUAGAUUAAUUAGAUUGCAUUUACAGUUCCGUUACCUCGAAACAAAGUUGGUGCAACAUUAACCAUGAUUAUGGUGAUAUAUUUUAGUUUUAUAUUUUUUAAGGGGAUAAUUUUUUUUUUUAAUGGUUUGAUGUUAGCUUAUAAGAAAAACCUAAACCAUAAAAGCCGAAUCUUUCCAAUAUUGAUCCAAUUUCUAUCAUUAAAAAUAUAUGAAUAAAACUUUUGAUCCUUAAAUAAAAGUAUACAAACUAUCGUACAAAAUAAUGGAAUCAAAUAUACAAAAUAAGAUUAAGGAAAUGUUUGAUAAAACUUAAUAUUUAUUAUUUAAUAAUUUAAAUUAACUCUAAGUUAAAUUAUAUUUAAGUUGUUGACUUAAAACUUAUUAUUUAAUUUUUAUUUUAAGUAUUAAGGUUAUUUAAAAAAAUUAACUUACAAUUUAUAUUAAAUCAUCAAAUUAAAAUAUUUAUCUUAAUAAAUUAUAACUAAGACAAAUAAGGUUAAAUAACAAUGGAGGUUGUGAAGUCAUAAAAGAGAUCAUAAAUGUAAUUGAGAGAAAAAAAGACAAAAAUAUAAAAUGAAGAUACUGACUUAAAAAUAAAUAAAUUUUUUUAUUUAUUAAGUCUUUUAUUUUAAGUCAUACAAUAAAAUUAUUUUAUCAAACAUAUUUAAUUUAUUUAAUAAUAUAAUUAAAAUAUUAAGUCACUUAAAGUUAUUAAAUUGGUUUACCAAACACGUACUAACGUACAAAUAAAUAAGACUAAAAUAGAAAACAAUGAAACUUAAACACAUAUAUGACAUGGUCUAUUUAAUUGUAUUUUUUUAUAAAUGCCUCUUUAAUACUUCCCAAAUCAUAACAUUAAAUUUCUUAAAUUGAUAUAAAACAUUUUUUUUUUUCUANNNNNNNNNNNNNNNNNNNNNNNNNNNNNNNNNNNNNNNNNNNNNNNNNNNNNNNNNNNNNNNNNNNNNNNNNNNNNNNNNNNNNNNNNNNNNNNNNNNNACAUAUAUGACAUGGUCUAUUUAAUUGUAUUUUUUAUAAAUGCUCUUUAAUACUUCCAAAUCAUAACAUUAAAUUUCUUAAAAUUGAAUUAUAAACAUUUUUUUUUUCUAUGAUUGAAUCAUUUAGCACUCCAAGUUUUACUAUUGGACGAAAUGUUAAGGAUCUAAUAAAUGGGUAACAUUAAUUUGCUGAAAUAGUUUUUCUUAUUACUUAUAAUGGUUUUAAGAAUGUUGAAAAAAAAAUUCAUGGGAAAACAUUUAUCAAACUCAAAUUUUGAUUCCUAUUUACUUUAUCUUUCCUUGUCAUGUCUCUUUCUAAUUUUCCUUUUUUAGCGGUUUGUUUAUUAGAACAGUAUAUCAUGCCUGUGAUUCUCUUUCUAUCACUUCUUUUCAAUUGAUUUGUUUAAUGCAAUAAUAUUUGUUUAAUGCAAUAAUAUAUCAUGUUAGACAAAAUAACACCUACCUACUACCCAAAUCCCCAAUGUGACAAUGAACUCUAUCUUUAAGCAUUAUUAUAAAAUUAAACGUAAAGGAUAUUAUAAGUUUCUUCCAUUCCACGUGCCUUUCCCAUAUAUUGAAAGGUGGAGGUUAUCAUUUUUAAAAGAUCAAUAAUUGUAAUGAAUUUUCCAUUCCACGUGCCUUUCCCAUAGAUUGAAAGGUGGAGGUGAUCAUUUUUAAAAGAUCAAUAAUUUUAAUGAAUUUCAUAUAUUUGCAUAUUUUUUAAGAGGGAAUUCAAAUUAACUCAUCUUAUUUCUCAAUGUUACGUAACUCCUGCCUCAAAUUAAAAUCAUCAUAUCAUUAUGAACAACUUUGAUACAACUAUUCAAUUUUUAAUAUGAAUUCUUUCAUUCUCAAAUCAUUGUUCAAGUUAGCUUUAUUAACUUAAAAAAACUCAUUCUUUGUCACUACUCCCUCUAUGAUUAUUAAAUGAUAAAAUUGUCAUUGUCUUAAAAACUAAUUUUGAUAAUAUAUUCAUCAACAUAUUUACAAAUUUAAAUUAAUACAAGUUGUAAGAAAUGUAUCAUAAAGAAGAUACAAAACUAGAAGUAGAUGAUAAUUAAUUAUUUUUUUUCUUUAUUGAACUUUGACACCCCAUCCAAAUGCAUUAACGAGAAAAAUAGUGUUUUAUGCUUGUUUUCAAUUAAUCUUGUCAAUAUGUACAUGAAAAACAAUGAUUUAUGCUUAUAAAUCUUAUCAAUUCGCUUAUUUGUAUAUGUAAAAUGAAAUUAUUGAAACUACACGUAGAAUUGCAUGAGGAAAAAAAUACAACUACUGCAUUUAUAAAUGAAUAAAAGCUUGGCUUAAAAUUCAAAAUUCUCAAAACUAUGUUUUCCACACCAAAAUAUUUCAUCCAGCCAACCAAACACCGAUUGAAUCCUCCCUCUAAAGCAUAUUGCCCAAGAUUACAGGCAACGUAGUAAUUACCUAGGCAAGUACGUCAGAAUUAUAGCUUCUUUUUUUUUUUUGUUUUUUUUCAGUUCAUUGACUCGGCUCCACCCAACCACUAUCAGUAUCAGUUACUACCAGAGAGGGUACUGGGUACUGGUUACUGGGCAGGAGCUUUUCCAAAUUCACAACCCGUCUUCUUUAUAUAAGGGCAAGUUUAUGUAUUUCCUCUCGCCAUUGCCUUUUGUUCGAAUCAUUUGAAGUUGAUUUUAUUAAUCCAUCAGAAAAACAUGGCUCUAACUGGUAAAUUGGAGAUUGAAACAGAGAUCAAAGCACCUGCUGAUAAGUUCUUUAAAAUCUUCAGGAGCCAAGCACACCACCUUCCUAAUAUCUGCUCCGAUAAAAUACACAAAAUCGAGGUACAUGAAGGUGACUGGGAGACUCAGGGCUCUGUCAAGCAUUGGAGUUACACCAUUGGUAGGAUAUGCAACUCGAACUCAGAACCCCAAAACACUAGCUAGCAUUAUAUUCCGUUAAAAUGUUUUUUGAUUUUUUUUCCCCAUUUCAUUGUUGUUUUCUUCACAUUUUUUUAUUCUUUUAGAAUAAAUGCAUGGCUCUUUGUACAAUUUUUCUUUUUUUCUUGCAAAGAAGUGGUCAAGUCUGGGCCGCCAGUGACUAUGAUCGAUGGUUCUUAGUAAUGUAUAUGGCAUCUAAUAUUAGCUUCAACAUAUUCCAAUUACUAGGAGGGAAUUCUAAGAGCAUUAAGGAGAGUGUGGAAUCAAUAGAUGAAGAGAACAGGUCCAUUACGUUCAAGGUUUCGGAUGGAGAGGUGCUGAACGACUACAAGAGCUACAAGUUCACCACACAAGCAAUACCAAAGGGAGAGGGCUGCUUGGUGAAAUGGACCAUUGAAUAUGAGAAGGCAAGUGAGGAUGGGCCAGAUCCCCAUGACUACCUGGAGUUUGCAGUUACUGUCACCAAAGAUAUCGAAAGUCACCUUCUCAAUGCAUAACACCAAGUCCAUACAUACCGUCUGCUAGUAUCUCUAUUAAAUAAAGUUUGGAACUUGGAAGGGCAUCUACGAUCUCUAUCCUUCAAUAUAUGCGAAGGCUUAGGGGAACUUUUAGCAGCUGUGGCUUGGUGAUUAAUGCUGAGAAGAUAAACUAGGUUUCCCUUAAUUAUUUGUGUAAUAAUGUUAGUGCAUGCGUGUAAUCGGUUGUAUGCUUGUCUGGACUCUAGGGGUUGCUUUGUGAUUGUUAAUUGGUGUCUUUUGUAAUGGGAUUACUACAUGUUAUGUGAAGACUAUAUGAUGUAUAAGGAAAUAAAGUGAAAAUUACCAGGGGCUAACUCCAUCAUGAGGAGCCUCUGAGUAUGUCCACAAGUCUACAUUCUUGCAUUCUAGUCACAUGUGUCAAAAUCAGACCCUAACAAAUUACAGUCUUGAUCAUUGAAGGGGUAAAAUCCCACUUUACAUAUAAUCUAAAUAAUUUAGCUAAAAUCUAAUAAGAAUAUCUCUCUCUACAGGUAUGUAACCUUCCAACCUUGAAUUUAAGGAUAUUUAUAUAAUUUAAAAUUAUAAAAAGAAAAUUUUGGAUAUAGGACAAAUUAAUUUUUUUUUUAAAAAAUAACGAAAGUGAAUGAAAUAUUUUUGGUUCCUAUGACCACCCACUUUUUUUACUUUUUAUUUUUAUCUCAUUUUAGUUUCUCCACGUUAUAAAAAAAUGAAAAGAUAAAAUAGAGAGGAAAAAAGACAACUUGGAUUUGUAGAAGUUUCUUUCUUUCAUGGUGUUUUUCUGUUCUGUUUUUGCCUUUGUUUCAUUCUAAAAGUCACUCACUAUCUUUAUCUCAUUUGGGUUUCCCCGCGUUAUCAAAAAAUGAAAAUAUAAAACAAAGAGGAAAAAAAAACCUAUACAAAGGUCUUUGGAAUUUUGAUUCAAAGACUUAAGAAAAGAAUAAUAAAUUUUUGCAUUUGUUCCGUUCUAAAAUUCAAGGUAAGUUUUUCACAUAUAAUUUUUUUUUAGGAAUUCUAUUAUCUAUUAAUUAUGAGAAUAGUAAAUAUAUAUAAUAAUAAUAAUAAUAAUAAUCAUCAUCAUCAUCAUCAUCAUCGUCAUCAUCAUUAUCAUUUUAAAACUAGUUAUUAGUGAUCCUAAUCAAUCGAGAACAAGUUGAUUUUCAUUACCCUUGGUAAUGGUAGUGAUAAAAUAUAUUUUUAGUUAAUAAGGGUGUAAUUAGCUUUGGGGUUUCAUUGAUUAGAAAUUAUUUCAUCUACUAGUAAAAAAAACAAAGUAAAACUAACCAUCAAGUGCAAAUCAUGAAUUUUUUUAAAUAUGAAUUGAGUAUACAAAGUAUAUUAUUUAAUUAUAUAUUUAAAUUGAAAGAGAUUAAUUUUUCAAAAAUAGUGAAUUUAAUCAUUGAAUCAAAUCAACUUACCUGUUAUAAAGAUGUGAUAUGUUCCAAAAUUUAGUUGUAUACAAUACGUGACCCUUCUUAUUAAACUAUCCUUUAUCAUUGAGCUAUCUAACUUACCUUUCUCAAUUAUUAUCCUUUAAGGUACAUCAAAUAUUGGUAUAAAUGAGAAGAGAUCGAGAUAUGAAAAGUAUUUCAAAUAGAAACAUCUUUAGAAUAGAUUUAUUUUUUAGGAUUGUUUACUUAGAUCAAGUUUAUUUUAAUUUCUAAAAUGUUUUUUUAAGUGUUUGAGAGAAUUAAAGUUAUUAUUUAGAUAUUUUAAUUAGUUUUGGAUUUGUUUGUUAAGGUCAUUCAUACAAAGAUGAUAUCCAUUUCUGUGUUAUAUUUUAUUUUAUUUAUUUAUUUCUUAUUUCAUGUAUUAAGUUUGAUAAAACUGAAGGUGAAAUCAACAUUGAAUUGCUAAAAAUGUCAAUUACUAUUGUUAAUUUAUCACAAUUAUGAUUUUUUAAUUGUAGCACAUAGUAAAAUUAUUAUUAUUAUUAUUAUUAAUAUUUAUACUCUGGUCGAACUUAUCCAUGGCCAAUCCAUCAUGUAGGCCAAUUUUGUCAAACUUAUCCAUGGCCCAUCCAUCAUGUAGGCCAAAUUUUUAUUAGCAUUUUUGGGUCAUAACUCUAGAUGCUGACAUUAAAGCAUUUCUGGCAUAAUAAUUAUUGGAAAAGGAUGUCUCCUCUUUCAUGGAUCACAACCAAUACAGCAAAGAUGAUGAUAGAUAGCAUCCUUAUCACCUCAUGUGUCUUGACCUCUUCUUCAAGCUUGAGUGUCUUGUCCUAUAUUUAACGCAUGUACCAUUGCCUCCAAGAUAUGGUGACAGGAAUUAUAUAGCUACUGACUAGCUAGUCUUCACUCCAAAAAUAUGAUGGCCACUUUUUUGAAAUAUAACUCUUUAUCCUAUUGACUUAAACUCACCACCUCUUUCAGAUCCUCCACAAGGAUCAACUUAUUAAGAGUUUGGUCGAAGUUUGAUCCACUUUUCUAAAUGAGCAAUGUUAAAUUAUUUUAUUCAAACAAAUUUGAUGAUCAAAUAUCUCUUAUUUUCUCAAAUUUAAAUAACAUUCCUUUAUAAAAAUAAUUAUAAAAUUUAUUAUAAUCACUCAUUUUCAAUGGCUCAUUAGUAGAUGUUCAUUGUAUUAAAAUACAUUUAUAUGAUUAAGAAAAACUUAUACAUUUCUAUUUUUUUUUUCUAUGCAUAAUUUAUAAUAUCUCAUAUAGGAUUUAUUGGGUUUAGAAACAUGUAAUAUUUAUAUAAUAGUGAGUGAAUUAUUAUAAAUGGUAUGAAAAUUGAUUUUCAACCCUUUAUGAGAAUUUAUUUAAUACUACAAUAUAUGACUCUAUGUUUGAUUAUGUAAUCCUAUAAGACACGAUGUCCAUUAAGUUCAUUAUAUUAUUUUUAAUUAUGUAAAAAUAUUUUAAAAUUAAAAAAAUUCAUUAAACUUAGUGCAGACGCUAUCUAUAUAAAAGGAAAUAAAUGGUUAUACUUCAUCAUAUUCGUUUCUCAUAUUUGAUAUAUAUCAAUUUCAGCGACUAUUAUUCAACAUUGCCCGAAGCAAUAGGUGCCUCACUUUUACAAAGAAAACUUCCUCUAUUGAUAUUUCUCAAAUAUAAAUUCAUGUCAUGGACUCAUGGUUAACAACCGAUAGAUCCUAAAACAAUUAGAUAUCUCAGAUAUUGAUUGACCAAAUGGACAACCGAUGCUAUAGUAAGAGCUGUUGCUGUUAUCUUUUAAUUUAAAUAUACACAAACGACAAAAUGCUUAACUAAUCCACCACCCAGGCGCCGGGCCACAGAAAUGAAAUACCGCCUACCCCAACAUUUUGGAAUUAAAAAUCUACACCACCCAGAUCUUGCUGUGAUUUGGUAAAUCCCGAGAAAUUGACAACCUUCCUACGCUGGGGAGGCGUGGUUCCAUUCAAUGCCAACAUUUUCGGAUGGGUCCAGAGAGUUGUACAGUGACUUUUAAAUAAAGAAUUGUUUUAAACCUUGACUUUGGGCUCUUUAUCAGGAAUAUGAAAAUAUUGGGCAAUGACUAGAUUCGAGAGCAGGUUGCAUGCAUAGAUAUCGCAUUAAUUUUUAGCAAUCGUUAUGACGAAAGAAAAUCUGCAGAACCAAGCGAAUUUUCCUAGUCAUCAUGAGAGACAUUAGACAAGGUUUUCAAUUCAUAAAAUUGCCUUAUCAUCUGGAAUUAAAUAUUUUCAAGCUAAGGAUGAGGUUCAAUCCGUACGGGGCAAUGAAAAUAUAUGGAUGCCCUAUAGAGUGGUUGAACAUUCUACAGUUUCGUCCCUAUUUAUAGAAGAAGAUGAAAUUUUAAGCAAUUUGCUUCAAUGCAAUUUUAGCAUAUUUCAGCUAGUCAUAGCAACGUCUAAUUUCGUUGAUGUAGAAGAAGCUAACACCAAAGAUUCAUCUAGGUAGAAAGAAGUAUCGAGCAUGUAACUAACCGCAGAACUCACAUCUAGGGACCCUAUUGUAAAUAUAACAGGUGAUGGACAUAAAGAUAGAUAUGAGUAAAAGAGUGGAACAUAAAAUCCAAAUUUCAAAAGUAUGAUAGUUUUUUAGUGUUUCUUUGAAUCUCGUAGGAAUUUAGGUCAUUUUCAAUCUCAUCCAUGAGACAAGGUACAAUAAUUGUUGAAGAAUAAGAGUAUUGUUGGGCAGUUCGGCGAGCUAUAUAUAAAGAGAGAGACUUCUUAACCAUAUAAAUAUUAUCCUCUAUAACUCUAAAUUUUUUUUUCCUUUAUCCAAUAUAAAAUAUCACAAUCACUUUUAUGUAUGCACUCUUUUUAAUCACGUCGCAUAAAAUUACACCAUUUUCAAAGCUAAAUAAACUCCUAUAUAGGGGUCAUAUAUUGACUUCAAUACUCUUUGAAACGACUCACACUUAAUCAUAUAAACUCAUUAUAAUAAUGUAUUUCCUAAUUUCAUGGAAUUUCAAUAAAAUAUUUAUUACUUUCAAAUGGGAAUUAGAGAGGAAUGUUGUCUAGCUAACUCAUAAUUCUUCUUUAUAAGUUCAAAUUAGGUAUUUACUUCUUCCUACCAUUACCUCAUAUUUUGAUUGUUUCUUCGUUAAUAUAUAGUUGGUUAAACUAAUAAACUAGAGGUUAGGAUGGAGAUCAAUUUAGAUUAUGUUUGUUUUGAGUUUAAUAAACCCUUACGACUUUAAAAUGUGUUUAGAUAGUUAAGAGAAACUUAUACAUAUAUAAUAUUAAAAAAAUUUCCUCAUUUAAUGUGAGAUAUUAUAAUCAUCACUCAUGUAGACAUAAUAUAUUUGUUGUAAGUCAGAAGAUUGUAAAACCAAACAAAUUUUUUCAUUGAAAUAUAAUAUUAUUUGUAAUGGUUCACUUUCUCUCAUGGAUCCCAACUCCAUUAGGUUCUUCAUGAAGCUUGUUUCAGUUUAUUAACCACCGAUGUAGCAAAGAUGAUGAUAAGUAGUAUUUUUGUUUCUCAUAUGUUUUCAGACCUCAUCAAGCUUGAGUGCCUUAUCCCAUCUCUAACGCAUGUACCAUUGCCUCCAAAAUAUGUUGCCAGAUUAUACAUAAUAUCAUAAUUAUAGCUACUGAAGUCCAACGACUACCUAGCUAGUCUUCACUCCCAAAAACAUGAUGGUCACUUCUUUGAAAUAUAACUCUUAUCCUAGUGACUCAAACUCACCACCUCAUUGACAUCCGUCAUAAGAAUUUCAGAGACUCUUCAAAGUUUGAUCCACUUUUAUAGAUGAAUAAUGUAAAAUUCUUUUAUUCAAACAAAUUUGAUGAUCAAAUAUCUUUUCUUUCCUAAAAAUUAUAUUUCCUUUUUAUAAAUCUUAUUUUAAUGACCCAAUUACAGUAUGGUAGAUAUUGUUUGUUUCGAGUCCAAUAAACCCUUAUAACUUUAAAAUAUGAUUAAAUAGUUAAGAGAAACUUAUAAAUAUAUAAAUGUGAGGUCAAAUAAAUUUUCAUAUUGAGAUAAAAGAUUAACUUUAAUACUAUUUGUAAUGGUUUACUUUCUUUCAUGUAAACAUCAUCCACUUUAUACUCAAUGAAUCAUUGAAGCUUUAAAACAUAUUUACAUGAUUAAAAGAAACUCGUACAUAUAGUAUUAGAAUUUUUUUUUUCUGACCCAUGAUUUGCAAUAUAUGUAUAAAUACGUUUUAAAGUUAUGAGGAUUUAUUAAGUUCAGAGUAAAUAGUAUUUAUAUUAAAUGGAAUGACAUGUCACAUGCAAAUAAUAUCAAACUCAAUCUCCAAUUUUUAUAUAAGAGUUUGUUUGAUUUUAUAAAAAAUGUUUGUGUGUUUCAUUCUACAAUUCUGUGAGACACAACAUCCAUUUAAUUUAUUAAAGUCUUUUUAACUAUGUAAACAUGUUUUAAGUUGUUAAGAUUGAUUGGGUAAAAACAGAAGAGGUGAUUGUGUGUUUUAUCCUACAAUUCAAUGAGGCAAUGCCUAAUUGAUUCAUUGGGGUACUUUUAAUCGUUAAUGCAUGUUUCAAUGUUGCUAAGAUUGAUUGAGUGAGGAAAAUAUCUACAUAUGAAAGGCAACAGUUAGUUACACUUCAUUAUGUUUUUUUCUAAUAUAUUGAUAUAUGUCAAUUUCAGUAGUUAUUAAUUCAACAUCGCCCAAAGUAACCAAUGCCUCGCUUUUCCAAACAAAACUUUCUCUAUUGAUAUUUCUUAAAUAUAAAAUCAUGUCAUGGUAAGCAUCCGAUGGAUACUAAGACAAUUGGAUAGAUAUCUCAGAUAUUGAAUGGACCAAAUGGGGUAACGGAUGUGGUAGUAUACAAGCGCUGUAUAUCUUUUAAUUUAGAUAUACACACACAACGUAAUGCCUAAUCCAUCCAGCCGGGGGGCCGGCCAGAGAGAUAUAAAAUACCCCCAAUCCCAUCAUUUUGUAUUUUGUAUUGGAAUUAAAAAUCCAAACCCAGAUAUUGCUAUGAUUUGGUAAAUCCCGAGAAAUUGAGAACCCAUCCUGGGGGAGGCAUGGUCCCCCUAUUCAAUGCCAACCCUAUUUUCAAAUGGUGUCUAAAGAGUUGUACAGUUAACGGUGACUUUAAAAUAAAGAAUUGCCUUAAACCUUGAUUUUAGGCCCUUCUUCAAGAAUAUGAAAAUGCAUGUUGGGCAAUGAUUUAGAUUCGAAAGUGGGUUCUGCAGACAUCACAUUUCUGCAGAGCCGAAAAUAUUUACAAGCGUAGGACGAAGCUCAGUUCAGAUGGGCCUCGAAGAUGAAUUUUUAAGCAAUUUGCUUGAUACAUUCAGCAAUUGAUAAUUUAAAAUAAAAAAAAUUAGGAAAUAGAAAGUAAAACAUAUAUGGUUAAAACUUCAAUGCAAUUUUAGCAUAUUUGAACUAGUCAUAGGAGCGUUUAAUUUCUUUGAUGAAGAAGCUGAACACCAAAGAUUCAUCCAGGUAGAAAAAUGUAUUGACCAUCUAAUUGUCUGCAGAACCUACAUCUAAGUACCCCGCUAUAAAUAUAAGAGGCAACUUAGGUGAGGGACAUAUAGACACAUACGAAUGCCAUUGUAGAAUAUAAAAUCCAAAUUUCUCAAAACUAUAAGGUUAUGUUUGAAUCCAAAAAAAUAUUAGAGGAAGUGAAAAUGUUAAGAAAAAUAAUUUUUUAUGAUUAAUUUUAUUAUAAAAAAUAUAAAAAAUAAAUAUAAUUAAAAUUAGUUAGAAUUUUACAUAUUUUUAAAUUAUAUAAUUUGAAUUUAAAUAAAUAUAUAAAAAUAAGUCAUUAAUUUUAGAUCUAUUUCUUUUUUCUUUUUUUAUAUUCUCCCACAAAAUUUCAGUAACCGAACACAACCUAAUAGUUUCCACUGUUUCUUUGAAUUUCUCAACUUCAAAAUCUCUUGUCUAUGAGACCUCAGAGUAAUUAAUUCCUACCUCUUGGUGACUAGGCCAAGCGCAUGGAUAGGCACAUUGACCCACUUGUAAUUGCCUAGGCUAAUAGGCCAAGCUCAUAGCAAUUUUCCUUUUUUAUUUUUUAAUUUCGUCGUAGGACUUGGUCUCCACAAGGCACUAUAACGUAUCCCCUAAUUUCAUUUCAUGGAACUUUAAUAAAAUAUCUAUUGCUUUCAAGUGGGAACUGGAGAGCAACGUUGCCUAGCUAACUCACAAUCCUUCUAUAUAAGUUCAAGCUAGGUAUCUUCUUCCUUCCACCACUGCCCACUGCCUUGUAUUAGGAUAUCGUUUCUUAGUUAAUAUAUAGUUGAUUAAUUUCCAUCUCCAACUACUACUAUUAUUAGAAAAAUAUGGCUCUAACUGGCAAGCUAGAGGUUGAAAUGGAGAUCAAUUCACCUGCGGAUAAAUUCUAUAACAUCUUCAGGAGGCAAGCACACCACAUUCCUAAUAUCUGCUCAGAUAAAGUACACCAAAUUGAUGUACAUGAAGGUGACUGGGAGACUCCAGGCUCCGUCAAGAACUGGGGUUAUACUCUUGGUAAGGCAACCACAACUCAAACCCCAAAACCCUAGCACUAUUAGUCUGUAAAAAAAAAUGAUUUUUUUAGUUUUUCUAUUUCAUUUAAUUGUUUUUUUGUUUGGCAUUUUCCCCUUUAGAAUAUUAAUUUAACUGCAUUAAUUCGGAGUUGAUCCCAUCAUGUGGAAGUUUAUGCUUCUGUUAUGAAUACAGCUUUGUAUGCCUUCCUUAUGUUUAAUUCAACCUAAAGCAUGUAGAAUUGAUGGUCAAAGUCUAUGGGACCCUUUUUUCAUGACCGCCAUGCAUGGGGCUUUCCCAGGUGACUGCCCGCUACUAAAGGGGCCUAAAGUUUAGGUCCCCCGAGUUAGAACUUAGAAGAGGGAUUAUGAAUGAUCAGUGAAGUUGUAAGGUUUUGAUCUUCUUAGAUAUUACCUAGAAAGAGGAUUGACUUUACUUGACUUUUACCAUAUUGAUUUAGAGAUUGGCGAUUGCUUUAAAAGGUUGUGUCAACAGAAGAAAACUUAAAAAAUAUUAAGAAAAAUAAAAAAAAUGAUUUUGUUUUUAUAAAAAAAAUCAAAUAUAAUAAAAACGAGUUGAAAUUUUAUUUAUUUUUAAAUUAACUUUUAUAUAGAAGAAUUAAAAUACGUUAAGUAAAUUUGAAUCAAAAUAUAAAAAUAAUUAAUUUCUUAAUUUUAAAUUUAUUAUUUUUCUUUUAACUUCUUUUUUGUUUUUUCAUUUUCUUUUCUUUUGUAUUUUCUUCAAAUUUUUUUAGAACCAAAUAUAGUCAUUAUGAAAAGAUGGGCCACGAAGUGACUACGCAUGUCAAUUUGCUUGAGAUUUCGCAAUCUAGUAGUUUCAAAAUACUAUGCUUAACCCCUUGUUUUGGUUUGAAAUUACUAGGAGGGACUUCUAUGAGCCUUAAAGAGACUGUGGAAUCAGUAGAUGAUGAAAACAAGUCAAUCACUUUCAAGGUUGUGGAUGGAGAGAUCAUGAACCAUUUCAAGUGCUUCAAGUCCAACUUGCAAGUAAAAGCAAAGGAUGAGGGCAGCUUGGUGAAAUGGAGUCUGGAAUAUGAGAAAGUAAAUAAGGAUGUCCCAAAUCCUGAUGCUUACCUGGAGUUCGCAGUUAAUGUUACUAAAGAUAUUGAAAGCCACUACCUCAAGGCAUGACACCAAGGCCAUGUGGUAUCCUCGGUAGUAUUACUUCAAUAACGCUGGUGUUUGUAAUUUGGUUGAGUUGUAUGCUUUACCAGGAGUGGCCUUGUGAUUGGCUGGUUUCUUUUGUAAAGGCAUUAUCAUAUAUGAUGUAAAUACUGUACCUUAAAUAAAAAGAAAAUCAGCAAAGACCCUCCUUUUUAAUGUGGAUAAUUGCUUUUAAUGUCACCUUUGUUGAUCGGUUUACAAGACAAGAGUUAACAAGUAGUCCCUAUUUAUUAAAUAUAAGAAUUUUCUGUAUCCAUUAAUCAUCAUCAGUAAGCUAAUAAAAUGGCUGAUAUUUUUCUUAAUAAAAACAGCAACAGUUACUGAGUUUAUAUAUAGGACACCAGUUGCAGAUUAGAUUUCUUUGGCUUGAUUGUGAUCUUUCUACAUGUUGGAAAAAUAUUGUCAUUUGGUAUUUAAUAUCAAAUUUUAAAAAUAAUAUUUAAGAUAUGAAGAAAAAAACAUACAAUGAUUCAUAUUUUUAACUUUAAUAUGAUUUAAAGUUCAUCGAGUAACCGUUUUGAAAUCAUUCACCCUUGAUCUUCACUUUCCUAGUCUCCCUUUACACGUUCCUUAGUGGUGAGUAUGAAAAUGAUUCCAUUGAAUUGUAAGAAUGGAAAGAGGGAUAAAAAAUUCUUCUAUUUAUAAGCAUAGAAUGAUUCUUCUUAUCAGUGAACCAUUAACUAAAUACUUUAAACAUAUUAUUAAUUAAUAAUAAUAAUAAUAAUAAUUAUUAUUAGAAAAUAAAUUUCAUAAAUAUUAUAAAUUUAAAAAAGAAUCUAAUUUAAUUCUUAAAAAAUUUAUGCAUGAAAUUUUUAUAUUAUUUUUAAUUGUUUUCUAAGGGUUAUUUUAAGAAAUUAUUAUACAAACAUAUAAAAUAAUUAAAAAUAAAACAAUAGAUAUAAAAAUUAUUUUUAAAAAUAUUAAAAAUAAAUUCAAAAUAUUUUAAGUUGCCAAACAAAUUUUUUAUUCUACAAAAAUCAGAGAUAGUUUUCAAAAUCUCUUUUAAAAAACUAUUUUUCAGAAUUAUUUUAAAAAAUAGUUACCAAACAAGCCCUAAAAGAUUUAUAUAUAUAUAUAUAUAUGAAAUUAAAAAAAUAUCAAAUAAUAAAAAUUCAAACAAUGGUAAGGGUGUCACUAAUGAUCGGUUUGGAUUUAAACUAACAUUUUUUUAUAUUGAGUAAUUUAUUUUUUAUUCUAUAUAUUAGAAAAUUGAAUUUAAAUGUAACUUUUUCAAAUAAAAUAGUUAGAUCACACUUGAUAUAUAGUAAUAAUUUUUUAAAAACUAAUGGUCAUAAUUUAAAAAAAUGAUGAAAAAAAAAUCUCAAAUAUAUUGCAUAUGAAUGUAUAUAUUUAGUUUUAUACAACAUGUUAGACAUAUAUUAGUUAUUAACUUAUUAUAAUCUACUAAAAUAUUAAUUCUAUACGAGGGGAUUAGAUUUCUCAUUGUUGAUUUUAUAACCCUCAUUGUGGGAUUAUAAAAUGUCAUUGCAAUCACUCCCAAUUUAGUCUAUGCAAAUCAAAUAUAGAAAUGCAAUUUAUCUCUGUCACAAUUUGUUACACAAUAAUGAUAAUGGAUAAUAAAUAAAUAAAUAAAUAAAAUUAAAGAACACACAUUUAUGUAUAAAACUUUAGAUGAGAAAAAUCAUGGAUAAGGAAAAUGAAUAUCCAAUAUAUCAAAAGAUUGGUAUAAAAGAUGAGAAAUAUAAACAACUAUGAUAAAAAUAUAAUCAUCAUAACCUUAAAAUUAUGUGAAAGUAAUUAACAAAGUAGGUCCAUACAUAAGGACAAAGAGCCCCCUCAAAGGUAUCAAUGGUGGGGGUGUGGGGUGUGGGAUCGGAUCAAAUUCCAACGUUAUCAAUGGUAGGCUAGGGGAUCGGAUCAAAUAGAAUUUGGAUCGCCAAACCUUAAUACAUUUUAUGCUUUUUCUUAUUGGUUUAGAUUUAUGAUAAUCUCCUCCACCAGCAAAAUAAAGUUAUACCGGAGGAUUUUCUUUGUUUUGGCUGUCACACUUUCACUUCUUUGCUAAUAGCCUAACAUCAAAUGAGAAAAUAGAGACAUUUUAAAAAUGAGAACAAAUUCUCGAGGAUUUAGUUGUCUGCCACUAGACUAUAAAAAAUGCUUUCCUGUUAUUUUACCCCCUAAAAUAAGUUUGAUACAAUGCAUCUAUUUUCUGGCUCCGACAAUGUUUAAGAAUACAUCAACCGACCUCAAACCACAUUAUUUCGGUUUGAAAAGAAGGCUUUAUUAUGUCAGUAUGGCUGCUAAGAAGACUUUUGGAAUAUAAUAAAACAAGUCCAGCGAGUUGAUGGUUUGGAAUCGAGAGAUCAUGAAUGAUUUCCCUACUUUAGAGUCAAUAAUUAAGUGGAAUGUGAGAAGGUGAAUGAGGAUGGCCCGGGAUCCAAUGCUUACUAAACUAUUGAAGAUCACCUUCCUGAGGCAUAAUUCCAUUACUUUUCAUCGACGCUGCGAUGCUAUAAAAGAAUAUUAUAAAAAUGCAAGGGUAAUGAAAUAUUGUACAGCCUUUACCGUAUUGAAGAACGUGGACUGAUUGCUAGGGUACCCAACACCCACCAUAAUUCCCACACCAACUCCCAACCAACCCGAUCACGUAGGGCCUCACAUGGCCUCAUUAUCAUUUAUGUGGAAAGAUAAUGCUAAACUAUAUACGGGAUGGCCAUUCUACCAGCCAACCUGUAAUGAUUUUGAUAAAAGUAUACUAAAAAUAGAAGGAGAAAUUAAGUUAUCAUUUGAUAACGGUUUUUAAAAAUUGUUUUUAAUAUUUUAUAAAAUAAAAUUUUAUUUAGAAAUACAAAAUAUUUUUAACUUAUUUUUAAUAUUUUAUAUGUAUAUAUAUAUAUAUAAAGAGAGAGCGCUUUAUUUUUAAUUAUUUUUCAUAUUUAUAUAAUUAUUUUUUAAAACAAUUUCAAAAAAACAAGUGAAAAUAACUAAAAAAAUAUUCUUUGAGAUAAAGAUCAAAAAACAUAAAAUAGUUUUUUUUAUUAUCAAACAUGUUUUAUGUUUUCUAAUCUGUGUUUUUUUAAUUUGUUUUUUGUUUUCAAAUCUUAAGAUCACUUAAUUUUUUAGGGUUUUUUUUAAGAAAUAAUUAUAUAAAUAUAUAAAAUAAUUAAAAAUAAAAUAUUAGACAUAAAAAUUAUUUUUAAAACAUAUUUAAAAAUAUUAAAAACAAGUUUAAAAUAUUUUAAGUUAUAAAAUAAGCUUUUUUUUUUUUACAAGAAUCAUAAAAUAAUUUUUAAAAACUAUUUUAAAAUAUUAUUUUUGAAAAUAAUUAUCAAACCCCUUAUUUUCUAUUCUCAAAAAAUGUUUUUUAAUUAUCAAAUGUGGUGUCUAUUUAAAUUUAAGAUUUUAAAUUUUAAAUUUAGUUAUUUCCAAGUUAUGAUCUCUUGAUAUUAUUUCAACCUAUUAUUUAUUUAUUUGUUUGUUUUUCACAUAAAUAAACUAAAAUUCAAUUGUAUAACCCAGUAUGAAUCACGUGGGCCCUUAGUGAGGCUGGCUACAACUAAAUCAACGUUCUUUUGAUAAUCGAUUGCCUAUGAAAGAAAUCAUCACGCCUUACACACAAUAGAAUAAAUUAAUAAGAAAGUAAGAAGAUUAGAAAGAAAAGCAUCUUAGAGGAAGGGUUUUUUUUUUUUUAACUUCUUGGUGGUGACACUGGAUGGGCUUUUGAUAAUUGUACGACGAAUUUAAAAUUAAUGUUUUAAAAUACGGUAUUAAAAAAUAUUUUCAAAUUUAUGGUACUUUUUACCACUUUGAAACAUGUUUCUUAAAAAAGCAUAUUUCAUCGUUUUUAUAUUAAUGAUACACAUUCAAAAAAAAAAAAAUUAAAGGUGUCUUUUUGAAAUAUAUUUUUCAUAAUUUUUAUAUCAAUAACACACAUUAAAAAAUUUUGAAUUUAUAUUAAAAGUGUCUCUUCAAAAAACACAUUUUAUAAUUCCAUAAAAUUAAAUUUAUAUUAAAAGUGUCUUUUAAAGAUAUACUUUUUACAAUUUUCAUAUCAGUUAUAUAGUGAAAAAAUUGAAUUUAUAUUAAACAUAUUUCUUUAAAAGACAUUUUCUACAAUUUCAUAAAAUUAAAUUUAUAUUAAAGGUAUCUCUUUCAAUAAUUUUUGUAUCAAUCAUCCAUUGAAAUAAUUGAAUUUAUACUAAAAAUAUCUUUUUAAAAGACACCAUCCAUAAUUUCAUAAAAUUAAAUUUAUAUUGAAAUGUUUCUCUUUAUACUUUUAAUAUAAAUUUAAUUUUUUUAUAGGUGAUUAAUAUAAAAAUUAUGAAAAGUAUUUAUUUAAAAAAUAUUUAUUAUAAAUUCAAUUUUAUAGAAUUAUAAAGACGUCUUCAACGUAAAUUCAAUUAUUUUUUCAAUGUGUAAUUGAUAUGAACAUUAUGAAAAAUGUCCUUCAAAAGACACUUUUAGUAUAAAUUUGAUUUUAUGGUAUUAUUAAAAGUAUAUUUCUUUAAUAUAAAUUCAAUUUUUUAACAUGUAUAACUAAUGAAAAAUUAUAAAAAAAUUAUAUUUUGAAGAGAUAUCUUUAAUAUAAAUUCAAUUUUUUAACAUGUAUAACUAAUGAAAAAUUAUAAAAAAAAUUAUAUUUUGAAGAGAUAUCUUUAAUAUAAAUUCAAUUUUAUAGAAUUAUAAAAGAUAUCUAUUGAAAAAAUACUUUUAACAUGUAUCAUUGAUAUGAAAAAUAUAGAAAAUAUCUUUUCAAAAAACACUUUUUAAAAUGGUAAAAAGUACCAUAAAUUUAUCAAAAGUUUUAUAACUAUCAUAGAAAUUUUUUUCAAAAGUUCCAUUUUUUAAUAAUUAUUUUUUUAAAUAGCCGUACAAGUUAUAUAAAAAAAAACCCGAUACUCCAUAAAAUGUGAUCAAGUAGGAUUUGCAUCAUGCAACCUCAUACAAAUAAUAAAAAGCAUAAAUCACUUGAAACUUGAAAGUGAUUGGAAUUUGGCAGACUCUAGCUAGCUAGGUUGCCAUAAAUGACAUGGGUCAGUGGCCGACACCCACCAAACCCAGCACUUAAUAAUAUAAUUAAUAUACUAUUAUUAUAGAACCAUCGUUUUCAGGAUAGGGAGCAUCAAAUUAACCUCCCCAAGUCAAACUGCACAAUUUGUUUCAUCGAAAUCGAAUAUCUAAUAAUGAAUGAUUAUGGGUGAGAUUGCAAUCCGCCAAUCCUUUGCCUAGCUCUUUGAAAAUCAAUGAUGAUGCUUAGUAUUAAUAUUUUAUUUAUCUUUUUAAUAUGAAAAUAAAAAUAUCAAAAUAAUUUUAAACUUUUUUCGUGGAGAUAAUGCUCCCCAGUUAAGCUGCUUAUAAGGUAUAAAUUAAUAAUAACCUUUUAAUUUUAAUAAAAGCAAUUUGAUACAUAUCACAUCUUAAUUCACUUGAGUAAUAACUAUUUAAGAUUGGAUUUAGGUUAACUUAGAUUAAUUAGAUUGUAUUCAGGUUAAUUAAACCAUAAUCAUAUUAUUAUCAACAAUUUCUCACAACUAUCCUAUUUUUAAUAUGAAUUAUUCCUAGUUCUCAAAUUAUUGUUUAGGUAGUUUUAUUAUCUUAAAAAACAUCUUUUUUUGUCAUUGGUUCUGCAUGGUUAUUAAAUAAGAAAAUUAUAAUUAUCUUAUCAACUAAUUUGAAGACUUUUCACAAAUUCAUACUUUAAAAACCUCUUUCUUUGUCGUGGGUCCCUACAUGGUUAUUAAAUAAUAAAAUUGUAAUAAUUUUAUCAAUUAAUUUGAAGACUUUUCACAAAUUUAUACAAUACUAGUUAUCGGAAAUGUGUCACAAAGAAGAUGCCAAGCUAAAAGCAAAUCAUGAUUCAUUAUUUUUUUUCCCAAUUGGAGCUCGAUGACCCAAUCCGAAUGCAUUAACAUCAAAAUUAGUGUUUUAUACUAUUUUCAAUGAACCUUGUCAACAUGAUCGUGAAAUGAUUUAUGAUUAUUUUCAAUAAACCUUUCAUCGAAACUAUGUGUAGAACUGCAUGAAUAAAUAAGAAAUUUUCAUAGUUACAGAUUUGCAUUAUCUCACUCUAUAUGAUUUUAUAUAGUUUUUUUUUUAAUACUUCUGCAACAUUUCUUUAGAAAAAAUAUUGUAUCAAUAAAUUCAGUAAUUUUCAUCAAUUUCAAUCUUAUAAUUAAAUGAUACUUCUGUCAUGUAUAUCACCAUACGUGUCACACUUCAUUCAAGAUCAGGUUGAUUAGUCAUGUAUACCUGCUCCAUUAAUAAAGUAUUAAGUUUUUAUUUUAUUUUAUUAAAAUAAUAAAUAAAUAAUAUAAUUUUUUUUUAUUAGAGGUAGUUAGGUAUCAUUAAAUGAUUUGUUGUCCUGCCAUGUCCCCAAUUAAUAAUUUUAUACUUUUCAUUUUUUUCAAAGGAUUUAAAAUAUAAAAUAUUAAAGAUAAAAUAUCUGAAAGUACCGCUUCCAUACCCAAUCAAAUUUUAAAUCUAAAUUAUUGACAUGUGAGUGAAAUUUGGACUAUUAAAUAAAAAGUGAAAAAAAAAUAAAAUAAUAAAUAAUUAAAAAUGUUCCUGCAAGGAGAUGUGACUAAGGUUAAAAAAGGAGGGGAUAAGGAGCGGCUAGGAAUAUGUAAACAAAAUUCAAAUAAUUAAAAAACGAAAUGAUAACUUCUCAAUGAAAUUGAAUGUUUCAGUUCUAAAAUCCAAAACAAAAACUAUAGUGAAAGAAAAAUUUGAGAAAAUAUAGCAUGGUCUUCUCUUUAAUGAUUGAUAAAUAUUUAUAUAUAAAUAAAGUUUAUUUUCCAUUAUAAUUUAGAUUAGUCGAGUCUUGUUUUCUACUCAAAUUCAAACUUCACAUUUUGUUAUAAUUUAAUCUAAUAAUAAUUGUUUUCACAAGACAAGCUGAAGUUAUCCAUUAAAAUACAACUUUUAAUUAAUAGUUUAAAAAAUAAGAUAAAUUUGAAAAUAAUUUUAAAAUUUAAUAAGUAUAUAUAUUUUUAAAUAGCAUUUUUUUUUUUAAAUUGCCAAAUCUAUGCUCAGAAAAGAUCCACAAAAGUUGAUCAACAAAAGAUACCGAACAGGAAGUAGAUGAUAAUCCAUUAUUUUCUUCUUUAUUAAAGUUUGACAACCCAAUCUGAAUUCAUUAACGUGAAAAGCAGUGUUGUAUGCUCAUUUUCAAUGAACCUUGUCAACAUGCACGUCAAAAACAAUGAUUUAUUAACUACGUACAUGUAGAAUUCCAUGGGAAAAAAAAAAAUACAAUUAAGGCCUUGGGAGAUGAAUAAAAGCUUAACCUAAAAUUCAAAAUUCUCAAAACCAUGUUUUUUCACACCAAAAUGUUUCAUCCAGCCAACCUAAGACCGAUUGAAUCCUCCCUCUAAAGCACAUUGCCCAAGAUUACAGGCAACGUAGUAAUUACCUAAGCAAGUACGUCAGAAUCAUAGCAAUUUUUACCAAAGUGGGUAUCGGGAAGGAGCUUUGCCUAAUUCAUUCUUCGACAAGGUUAUCUACUUCCUCUCGUCACUGCCUUCUGUUUGAAUCAUUUGUAGUUAGUUUUAUCAAUCCAGCUAGUGUUAUUAUCAGAAAAACAUGGCUCUAACUGCUAAAGUGGAGACUGAAACAGAGAUCAAAGCACCUGCUGAUAAGUUCUUUAAACUCUUCAGGAGCCAAGCACACCACCUUCCUAAUAUCUGCUCCGAUAAAAUACACAAAAUCGAGGUACAUGAAGGUGACUGGGAGACUCAGGGCUCCGUCAAGCAUUGGAGUUACACCAUUGGUAUGACAUGCAACUCAAACUAAGAACCCCAAAACACUAGCGUUAUAUUCUGUUAAUUAAAAUAAUUUUUGAUGUUUUUGUUUCAUUUCAUUGUUGUUUUCUUCUCCUUUCAAUUAUUCUUUUAGAAUAAUAAACGCAUGCGUCUUUGUACAUUUUUUUUCUUGCAAAUAAGUGAUCGGGUCUGGGCCGCUAGUGACUAUGAUGGUUCUUAGUAAUGUACAUGACAUCUAAUAAUAGCUUCAACAUAUUCCAAUUAUGUUUAACCUCACAUUUUGGUUUUAACUAGGUGGGAAUUCUCAGAGUAUUAAAGAGACUGUGGAAUCAAUAGAUGAAGAAAACAGGUCCAUCACGUUCAAGGUUUUGGAUGGGGAGGUGCUGAAAGAAUACAAGAGCUACAAGUUCACCGCACAAGCGAUACCAAAGGGGGAGGGCAGCUUGGUGAUAUGGACCAUCGAAUAUGAGAAGGCAAGUGAGGGUGGCCCAGAUCCCCAUAACUACCUAGAGUUUGCAGUUAAUAUCACCAAAGAUAUCGAAAGUCACCUUCUCAAUGCAUAACACCAAGGUCAUAUCUACCCUUUGCUAGUAUCUCGCUCGUAAAUAAAGUUUGGAC